RNAcentral lists this ribosomal RNA (434 nucleotides) under uncultured Lachnospiraceae bacterium. Its description in RNAcentral is "bacterial SSU rRNA". It matches the Rfam family "Bacterial small subunit ribosomal RNA", at positions 341 to 792 of the family's 1533-position model. The record is from RNAcentral. Lineage: Bacteria; Bacillati; Bacillota; Clostridia; Lachnospirales; Lachnospiraceae.
ACGGAAGGCAGCAGUGGGGAAUAUUGCACAAUGGGCGAAAGCCUGAUGCAGCGACGCCGCGUGAGUGAAGAAGUAUCUCGGUAUGUAAAGCUCUAUCAGCAGGGAAGAAAAUGACGGUACCUGACUAAGAAGCCCCGGCUAACUACGUGCCAGCAGCCGCGGUAAUACGUAGGGGGCAAGCGUUAUCCGGAUUUACUGGGUGUAAAGGGAGCGUAGACGGUUUGGCAAGUCUGAAGUGAAAUGCGGGGGCUCAACUCCUGAACUGCUUUGGAAACUGUCGAACUAGAGUGCAGGAGAGGUAAGUGGAAUUCCUAGUGUAGCGGUGAAAUGCGUAGAUAUUAGGAGGAACACCAGUGGCGAAGGCGGCUUACUGGGCUGUAACUGACGUUGAGGCUCGAAAGCGUGGGGAGCAAACAGGAUUAGAUACCCUGGUA